GGAGGGAUGUGGCUCAGCGGUACACAACAUGCUUUUCAUGAAGGAGGGCCUGAGUUCAAGCCCCAGCAUCUCCA
This is a non-coding RNA of Podarcis lilfordi (Lilford's wall lizard), 74 nucleotides long. The record is from the annotation of a GenBank genome assembly. Lineage: Eukaryota; Metazoa; Chordata; Lepidosauria; Squamata; Lacertidae.